Molecule: ribosomal RNA, 253 nt
Filed under: uncultured bacterium
Lineage: Bacteria
Description: partial 16S ribosomal RNA
Rfam family: Bacterial small subunit ribosomal RNA
Source: RNAcentral
UACGAAGGGGGCUAGCGUUGUUCGGAAUCACUGGGCGUAAAGGGCGCGUAGGCGGCCGAUCAAGUCGGGGGUGAAAGCCUGUGGCUCAACCACAGAGUUGCCUUCGAUACUGUUUGGCUUGAGACCGGAAGAGGUAAGUGGAACUGCGAGUGUAGAGGUGAAAUUCGUAGAUAUUCGCAAGAACACCAGUGGCGAAGGCGGCUUACUGGUCCGGUUCUGACGCUGAGGCGCGAAAGCGUGGGGAGCAAACAGG